GGCCAGGAGACCGAGGCUGUAGGUGGGAUCCGCAGGGUAAAUGUUGCCGCAGCUUUUUCUCUGCCCCUGCCCUGAUUUCUUUUUUCUCUUUCUCUCCGGGUCCCCAGCCGUGGCCACUCAAUUCCCAGGGGUCCAGUUUUGUAAUUCACAGGAACUGUUUCAUAUCCAGGCAAAAUGUUGCAGAGUUGCAGGCACCCUUAGUUGAAAGGCGUAAUAUUAACAAGUUCUCUGUGUGCCUGCCAGGCGCGGUUUCCAGCGCUCUCUGGGGGUAACACAUUUACUCCUUACAGGAACCCAAGUAUGUAGGUGCUGUUGUUUCCUCAUUUGACAGGCGAGGAGACCCUAGCACUGAAAGGUGGUAAAUGGUUGCUCAAAGUUGCAUGCCUGGUAAGUUGCAAGGCCGGAUUUGAACCCAGGAGGUCUGACUCCAGUUCCCAGGGUCUUAACUAGCACGUGAGACCACAGCCUGCCAGUCUUGGGCCCUUAAGGGACUUAAUGAAGAUGUGAAUUUCCUUCCCUUAAGUUUGGAGGUCCAGUGGACAGGCAUUCCACCUGGGGAGUACCAGUGCAGCCCUGAGCCACUAGAGGAUGUGAACCAGUGGAUUUCGGCCAGGUUCAGGCUUGUGCUCCUGGGAACAUAUGCGUGCUUUUUAUUGGUUGGGUAGAAAGGAGUUGCCAUAGGCCAUUUUUACUAAUGAAAGCAGAAUUCCAACCUGCUUCAUCUUGCAGGAUGCUCUGAUUUUUCAAAGAACUAUUUUGAUGUUCCUUGAUGUCAUGAAUAACUCUACGGAAGGAGUGGGCAUAGAGCAACUGACAUCUGAGCAUCAUUGUUCUAGGACUUUUUUUUUUUUUAAUGUUUAUUUAUUUUUGACACAGAGAGAGAAAGAGAGAGAGCAUGAGCGGGGUGGGGCAGAGAGAGAGGGAGACACAGAAUCUGAAGCAGGCUCCAGGCUCUGAGUUGUUAGCACAGAGCCCAACGUGGGGGUCAAACCCACAAACUGUGGGAUCAUGACCUGAGCCAAAGUCAGACGCUUAACCGACUGAGCCACCCAGGCGCCCCUAGGCCUUUCUGAAGCCUCAAAAUAGUGAAAGACAUGAUGCCUGUCUCAGCUUAAAAUGUAGAAUUAGUGGAAAGAAUUUUUUAUAGAGUGUUUUAAUGCAUGAAAUAUAAAAUGAAUAUUUUAUAUCAUUAAUUUCUUAAUUUAGCAUUCGUGGAUGUUUAAAUGAUAAUGCACAACUGUGUAUUUGAAAGUGGUGUAAUUUCACUUAUUUGUUGCGAUUAGUUUUAGAGAGUAAACUUUGAAUUAGCGCACCAGGACUGGAACAAAGACAGGCCAGCCCCUGGAAGGCAAGGACAGGACAAGUCCUCAUAGUGCCAUUCCAUCACAGAUGAAGACACUGGAUCAAGGAGGAAGGCUUAAUUAAACCAUAGAUACUUUCACAGCCUCUGGUAAUUAGGAGUACCCAUCCAGUUCUGACUUAUGGGGCCAUAAGGAAGAUGUCUGGGAAUGUUUCCUCCGUGGAUAAAGGACAGAGCUUUCUGAGAGAAGAAAAUCUUUUGCUGUACCCUUGAGUUUUACAUUUAAGCACAGCAUGAGGAUAUGAUGUCUGGUGUUGCAGCAGCCAUAUUGUAGCAGUGAGUCAACAGGCAUGGGAAUAAAAACCAACAUGCUAAGGAUGAUGGCAUGGGAGUGUGAAAAGUGUCUGGGUCUUGAUGAUAUUGAUGAGCCCCUGAAAGAACCCUGGAACCAUCUGCCUCCAGACUACUAGUUGAGUGAGAUAAUAUAUAUUCCUAUGAUUUCAUCACAGAUUUAAAUGCAGUUUCCUGUUACUAGCAGCCAAAAGUGUUCCCCUUUGAUACAAUCUAUUAGAGUUAUAGAAAAAUAUAUUGUUCAAAAGGGAAAAAAGGUAGUAUGGCCACAUUUUUUUUCUGACCAAUCUGAAAAGUUCUUCACUGAAGGAGGAUUUAGUGAAAUGUUUAAGUGAUGGGAAAGUUUAUAGAAGUAAGCCACCUACAUUGAAAAGUUGAUUUAUCUAUCCAGUGAAAAGCAGGUGACUUUUAAUGUUACAGAAUUUAAAUAUGCUUAGAUUGGGCAGUGCUUACAUUUCUUAAUAUUUUUUCUUGUCAUAUUUUUUUUAAAUGUGUAGAUAGUUUGAAUUAGAACAUUUCUUUCCUUCCCUCUUUCCUUCCUUCCUCCCCCCUUCCUCCCUCCCUCCCUCCCUCCCUUCCUUCCUAAUUCACUGGCCUCUUAGGUGCACAUUUAAGUGCAAUAAAUGAUAACACUCAAAGGCAAAAGAGAAUGAAUUCCUAGAGGGCAAGAUUUGCAUACUAGAAAUUAAAAUAAGAACUUUCAAGGUUAAACCUGCCGUUUCUUUGGAGACUGGGAAAUAGAUUAUUUUCUUUUAAAGCAUUUAUAGUAGGAACUGGGCAAUAGAAAACACAUGAGAGAAUUUAAGCAGCACAGCUAAUCAAAAUGAAGAAAAUAAAGAUCAUUUAUAUUCUUUUCACCCAGGGAUACCUAUAGUUAAUGUUGGAGGGUUAGUCUAUUUUUUUUUUUUUUUUUGCCCCUAUUUUUACAUUUACUCUUUUCGUCUUUUCCAUUCCUUCCUCUCCUCCCUUCCUUUAUUCCUCUCUUUUAUAGAUGCUUCCAUUCUUUGCAAAUUAGAUGCUGAUCUCCAGUGGCCUUUUCCUUUCUUGUCAUCAAUGUAUGGGUAGUUUGAUAUUCCUUUUCUCCUUUCUGUGUUUUCACAUCGUGUUGCUGGAUUUAGUUUAUAAACUUCAUGACUGAGCAUUACACCCAUGCCUGAAUCUGGGAUCCGCUUUUUAUAGCAUCACAUCCGGAACCCACAUCAGGUUAACAGGAAUGUGUGUAUACAAGUACACAAAUUGCAAGUGACAAAAUACUGCUAAUCAUUUUGGUUUUACACUUGACCUGAGCAAGGCUGAUUUGUACAGUGCAGCCUCUCUCUGAAGUUCAAGCAAGACCAGCUGACUCUUCCUAACUUCCUGCCCCUACUGUCGAUGUGUUUCUUCAUAUUCUUGGAUGUCAUUGUAUUUUACUCCUUUUCUUUAAAAACAAACAAACAAACAAACAAACAAACAAAAAAACCAACUGUAUGAAGAUUUAAGGCCUAAAGCAAAGUUAACUUACUCUAGAAAGGAUUUUCAAGAGUUUAGGGGCACUACCACACAUGAUCACUUGAUAUACACUACAUUCAUGGCUUGAGGAAUGUGGGACAAUGAAAACGAGAUGUAUGUGAGCACCGCCCAUGGCCGCACCCUCCGGGAACAAAUCCACUCAUUAUUCUCCUAAACUCCAGACCAUUUCUGUUCUAAAGCAACUUAAUUGUCCUUGCAGACCUGUGGAGGGUGGGAAGGGGGGUGGGGUACAACUUACUUCUAAGCAGUCCGAGGCCUGAGGGUAUGGCUCUUUGGGUGAACCAGGAAGGAUCCCUCUUCUUCCGGUGAGCCCGAUGCUUUAUAAUCCCUCCAUUGGUUCCAGGAGGCUCUCAGAAACUGAAAUUGUGUUGAUUCCCAAUUGUUUUCAUCAGGGGAGUUCAUCCAACUAACCUAGCCUGCCAGUGAUAGGAAUGGGUGUGUUUUAAUUAAGAGUGUAAAUUGUUUGGUGUUUGUCCCACGAUUAGCUAUAAUUUUGUUUAUUUGUUUAUUGACUGACUCCCUCACUAGAAAGUGAAUUCCGUUUUAUUGAAUGAUGUUUUCUAUAAUGAUCAUAACACUUCCUAUGUAUGAGGUACAGUUCUGCUUUAUAAAUAUUAACUUAUUUAAUCCUAAAAGCCCUGUGAAAUGGGCACUGUUAUGUUAUUAUUAAGGUAACUAAGACACUAAGAACUUAGGUUACUUGUCCAAGGUCACCCAGCUGGUUGGUAUAAGAGCUAGCAUUUGACCCCAGGGAAAUUGACUUGAGAGUCCAGGGACCUAACUAAUCACUCCGGGGUGUGGCUCUCCAUGAGUGCUAAGACAUGUCAUUAAUGAAUCCUUAGGACAUGGCAUGCUACCUGGAGAUAACAGUUCUUCAGUAUUCUUGAAUAAAUGACCAUCCGAUGCAGAAGUAUAAAUGCUUUGUUAGUUAUAAUAUGACUGGCUUAUAAAAAGAAAUGUGAUGAAAAUGGCAAUGACCUAAAAUUUCAGUCUGUCAUUACAUGUAAUAAUAGCCAGAUUUUAAUUCUGAGAUGCGGGAACAGUAAGUGGACCAAAUUAUCUGAUAGGUUUUUGUGUUUGUUGUUACGAAACUGGAAGGAAUGCUAUCCUGUCUCAGCCCUACGAAGGAGAUACAUUAGGCGGGGAGACGUGGAGGGGGCGGAAUAACGUAAUGGCAGAGGAUGGCUGCUGAGAUUUUAUUCAAUAUUGUAUUUAGGGAAUAAGUGAGUGAUCCAGAGGACACGGCAUCUCGAAACCAGUCUCCACGGCACGUCCUGACUCCGGAAACAAAGGUAAUUCAACUUUAUUGUUUGUUAGGACAUCGUCGAUGGAAAUGAAAAGUCACGUGUUCCCAUCCAAGGUAAUGUUCUCUGGCUGGCCACCUGGUUCCGGGUCAGAGCUGGGGUAAACCAGCUCCUUUAAAAGGCGGCCUCCUAUCUGCAGUUGUUAAUUUCUCGUUUCAAGGGGUGCGUUUGGUUAUGCUCCGUUUACCAGGUUAUAUUUUCUCUUUUGUGUUUGUCAGUGUGUCCGUUUGUUAUGUCACGUAUGUAGAGGUAGAAGGCGGAUAUCUAAUGGGAGGGUAAUAUAAUGCAGGAAGUGAAUCUUUUGGUUUCCCUACCUGCAUCAAGGCCAGUGUCAAACUUACAUAGUUAGAAAUCUCCAAGAAAUAGCUGCUUUUAUCGGUGUUAGUCUGUCAGGGGAGGUCACCAAAGUUUUGGGAGUCAACUCUGCUCGUGUGUAACCACAGGUAAAUCUCACACUGUACAUUCUUUUUUUUUUUUUUUUUUAAAUUAAUGUUUAUUUUUGAGAGAGAGAGAGAGAGAGACAGAGCAGGGGAGGGGCAGAGGGAGAGGGAGACACAGAAUCUGAAGCAGGCUUCAGGCCACCAGCACGGGAGCCCUGCAUGGGGCUCAAACUCACAAACGAUGAGAUCAUGACCUGAGCCCAAGUCAGACGCUUAACCCACUGGGCCACCUGGGCGCCCCUCACACUCUACAUUCUUUUUUUUUUUUUUUUAAUGUUUAUUUAUUUUUGACAGAGCAUGAGCAGGGGAGGGGCAGAGAGAGAGAGGGAGACGCAGAAUCAGAAGCAGGCUCCAGGCUCUGAGCUGUCAGCACAGAGCCUGAAGCGGGGCUCGAGCUCACAGACUGCGAGAUCGUGACUUGAGCCGAAGUUGGACGCUCAACCAACUGAGCCACUCAGGAGCCCCACCCUAUACAUUCUUAAUGAACAUUUAGGUUUAUCUAUUUGAUGUAAUUUCAUUUACAUAGUGGGAGAAAUUGCUUCAGCUGCAGCUAUAAACCUUUUAUAACAAUAGCAAAUUUAAAAUUCUUACUAUGUGCUUUUCACUUUACUGUGAGCUUAUCCAAAAGUGAAUCGUAUUCUUUUCACUUUUUUUAAUGGUAGAAGAACCCUGAGAGAGAUAGCUACUGUAAGUCUGACAGUUUUAUCAUAGAAAGCUGAAGCAAUUUGCUCAAGGUCACAAGACUUUUAAGAGGUGGAGUUAUUUAGAUUUAGUUUUAGUUACUCUGUCCCUAAUACAGUGUUCUUCUCAUGUAGCUAUUUGAAUCUCAUAUUGCCUUUUAAUUAAUCAUUAGAUCAAUAAACAUUUGUUGGUUUCACAACCGUUAUAUCAAAAGAGAUCGUCAUACUUUAAAAAUUCUGAUGAGGUCAGUGUCUUCUCAGUUUCCUCCUUGGAACAAUGCUAAAUCAUAUGUGGCUGUUUAAAUAUUAAAACCCUAUGGAAUCACAGAGCACUCAAAGCUCAAAUUAAUGCUGGGAAUUGUAAUUACAUACAUUUCUUGUGAAAAGACUUGAUGGUUGGUUUGAAUUACAACUGUGUGGCUUUGGGAAAAUUACUUAAUAUCUUUAGGCUCUGGUUUCCUUAAAUGUAAAGUGGGGAUAAUACCACUUCUCUGGGAGGUCGCCAAGAUUAAAGUAGACAAUACAUUUGUCAAAGUCCCUAGCACAGUGCCUGACACAUAAUAGGCACUCAGUAAAUGUUAGUUUCUCCUUGACUAAUUUCUUUCAUUGGCUGUGUGGGAAAAUUAUGCGAACAAACUGUACAAGUCAAUCACUUCCAAGGGCUUUUUGAAAAUAAUGAUAGUCUUAAGAGAGCACUGUCAUUAUUGUUGGUUGGGGCCAGUUUUUUCCCUGCAAGAACAUAAAGUUAAAAUUUACUGGAGAGUAUUUAAUACACAACAAUUUGCUAUGAAUCUGACUUUUCUUCAGGAACACACUUAAUGAUGAAAUCAAAUCAAGCAGAAGUUUUUUUGCAUGCGAUUCAAGAACGCUCUUUAUCCAGUCUGCACUGAAAUUGCAUUACCUGGAGUUAAGGAGGAAGUGUACUCAGUUGAGCUUGGAAGCAAUGUUACCAGAAAAGGAUUAACAAAUCAUAAGACAAAAUCCUUGGAGGUAAGGUCACUAGCAGACUGUGGCUAGGGCGCAAGCCAAGGAAUAGGUUUCCCAUGUGCUGCCCCAUUAGUUCCUGGAAUCUUAAUACAUAACCUGCAUCAGCGAAUGGUGCCCAAAGGAGGGAAGGAACGAGAGCAUCACGUCUCUGCCGUGUCAGACAACAUGGCACUCCUUGUUUUCAAAAGUUAGUUUUUAUUUUAUGAGAGCAAUGUAUGCACACGUAGGUUAGAAAUGUGUAUUAGACUUGCCUCUGAUUUAUCAAUAUUAGACGUUCUCUUUUAAUUACCUACUCCGGUCUUUGAGGAUUUGGUUCUCCUAUACCUUGCCUUCUGCUUCCCCCUCCAGUUUUCCCGCUAGAGUCAUAUUACAGCCUUUGUUCAGUUGACUGCUCCAUGUUUAUAUUGUGCCUGUAUAAAUAUUGUUCAGACUGAGCAUUAUAGGGUGCAGAUCACUAUAUUUGCUUUCUUUUUUCUUUUCCUGAAGUUACUAAUGACCCUCUUCCCCUCUUUCAACUGGUCCCCUUUCGAGUUCUUUCUUACACCUUCCAAUAGCUUCUUGGUACACUUUUCUACAAGUUCAGUCAAACCAACAUAUAUGUGCUCCAUUCCCCCAAGUAUUCCUCCCAGACACUUCCUUCUCCUUCCUUAUGGACUGCUCUCUCUCUCUCUCUCUCUCUGGCCUGCUGCAUAGCUUCUUCCUGGGAAUGCCUUGAGUCGGAUUCUGCAUUUCCUAGAUUUGAGCCUCCCCCUUUCCUGUUGGACAAGGUGCUGCAGCAGAGGGCUGGGUGGUGGCAGUCCCCAGUGUGGCUGUCUCUUUCAUCACACAGUUCCAGUCUGGGCUGUUUAUCCUCCGUGACUUGCACACGGCUAUCCACCUGGGACCUCCUUUUACCCUUAUUCUGGAGAGUUCCUUUGUGCAAAGGAACAAAGUAAACUCUUCCUUAACCAUGGCACUAUAAUUAAUUCAAAAUGGAUCACGGAUUUUAAAUGUAAAACGAUACACUUUUAGAAUAAAAGAUAGAACCUCUGUGAUGUAGGGGUAGGUGAAGGAUUCUCAGACAUGGCUUAAAGCAUGAUCUAUAAAAUAAAAAAUUGCUAAAUUGGACUUCAUCAGAACUAAAAAAACCCCCAAAAAACGCUUUUGUUCUGGAAAAGAUCCUGUUAGGAGGAGCUGAAGACAAACUAUAGACUAGGGGAAAAUAUUUGCAAACCACAUACCUGACAAAGGUUUUACACCUACAAUAUAUAAGAGACUCUCAAAAUUCACCAGUAAACAAAGACAAUUAUAAAAUGAGCAAGAGAUGUGAAUGGAUGUUUCACUCAACUGGAGUUACAGAUGACAGAUGAGCACACGAAAAGAUGUUCAGCAUCAUUAACCAUGAGCGAAAUGCAAAUUAGAACCACAAUGAGAUACCAACAGGUGCUUGCCAGAAUGCUUAAAAUAGAAAAUAAUGGUAACACCAAAUGCUGGUCAGAAUGUGGAGAAAUGGAAUCACUUUUUUUUCUUUUUUUUUGCAUGUUUAUAACAGCUUUAUUGGUAAUAGCCAAAAGAAGGAAGGAAGGAAGGAAGGAAGGAAGGAAGGAAGGAAGGAAGGAAGGAGGGAGGGAGGGAAGGAAGGAAGGAAGGAAGGAAGGAAGGAAGGAAGGAAGGAACGAACAACCCAACUGUCCAUCAGUAGGUAAAUGUAUAGACAGCCUGUGGCCUAUCCUUACUAUAGACUACUGCUUAACAAUAGAAUGAAUUGACCUAUAGACAUGCUACAACUUGGAUGAAUCUGAGAAUAACGAUGCUGAGGGAAAGAAGCCAGACCAAAAAGGAUACAUACCAUAUAUGAUUUCAUUUAUCUAAAACUCUAGGAAAUGCAACAUACUCUACGGGGACAGAGGUAGAGGUGGAUAGGGAGGGAUAUGGGAGAGAGAUUUACAAAGGCCACAAGAAAACGUUUGGCGGUAAUAGAAUGUAAAACGGUUCAGCUUCUCUGGAAAACAGUUCUGUGGUUCCUUAAAAAGCUAAACAUGCAAACAUGAGCCGGCGGUUGCACUCCUGGGCACUUAUCUCGGAGAAGUGAAAACAUGCAUUCACACACAAACCUGUACAUGAGUGUUCAUAUGGCUUUGUUCAUAAUAGCCCCAAACUGGAAACAAUCCAGAUGUCCUUCAUUUGGGUGAAUGGUAAAACCAUGGGAAUGCCAUACCAUGGAAUACGUCUCAGCAGUAAAAAUGGAACCAACUCUUUUUUUUAAUUUUAUUUUUUAAAAUUCACAUCCAAGCAUGUAGUGCGAUAAUGAUUUCAGGAGUAGAAUCCAGUGAUUCAUCCCCUACAUAUAACACCCAGUGCUCAUUCCAACAGGGGUCUUUCUUAAUGCCCCUUGCCCAUUUAGCCCAUCCCCCCCACCCACAACCCCUCCAGCAACCCUCAGUUUGUUCUCCAUAUUUAAGAGUCUCUUUUUUGGGAAUCUACUCCCAAAACCAAAAGCACACUGUAUACACUGUAGCCUAGCUAUCUUGACAAUAGAUUAUAUUUAGAAAAAGAAAAAAAAUAAGAGUCUCUUACGUUUUGUCCCCCUCCCUGUUUUUAUGUUAUUUUUGCUUCCCUUCCCUUAUGUUCAUCUGUUUUGUAUCUUAAAUUCCACAUGUGAGUGAAGUCAUAUGAUAUUUGUCUUUGACUAAUUUGUCUUAGUGUAAUACACUCUGGUUCCAUCCACGUUGUUGCAGAUGACAAGAUUUCAGUCCUUUUGAUCGCUAAUACUCCCAUCAUUCAUAUAUAUACAUAUACAUAUAUACAUACAUAUGUAUGUAUACAGAUAUAUGUAUAUGUAUAUAUAUGAAUGAUGGGAGUAUUAGCGAUAUAUAUGUAUAUAUAUAUACACAUAUAUAUGUAUAUGUAUACAUGUGUAUAUGUAUACAUGUGUAUGUAUACAUAUGUGUAUGUAUAUGUACACACAUACAUGUAUAUAUGUAUACAUAUAUGUACAUACACAUACAUGUAUAUGCAUAUAUGUGUAUACACAUGCAUAUAUGUGUAUAUACAUGUAUGUGUAUAUAUGUGUAUAUACAUGUAUGUGUAUAUAUAUGUGUAUAUAUACACAUAUAUGUAUAUGUAUAUAUGUGUAUGCACACAUAUAUGUAUAUGUAUAUAUGUGUGUAUAUACACACAUAUAUGUAUAUGUAUAUGUGUGUAUAUAUACACACGUGUAUAUGUAUAUGUGUGUAUAUAUACACACGUGUAUAUGUAUAUGUGUGUAUAUAUACACACAUGUGUAUAUGUAUGUGUGUAUAUAUACACACGUGUAUAUGUAUAUGUGUGUAUAUAUACACACAUAUGCAUAUGUAUGUGUGUAUACACACAUGUAUAUGUAUAUGUGUGUAUACACACAUAUGUAUAUGUAUAUGUGUACAUAUACACACACACACACCACAUCUUCUUUAUCCAUUCAUCCAUCAAUGGGCAUUUGGGCUCUUUCCAUACUUUGGCUAUUGUCGAUAGUGCUGCUAUAAACAUGGGGGUGCACGUGCCCCUUCAAAACAGCAUACCUGUAUCCCUUGGAUAAAUACCUAGUAGUGAAAUUGCUGGGUCACAGGGUGGUUCCAUUUUUAAUUUUUUGAGGAACCUCAAAACGGAACUGACUCUUGAUACAUGCAGCUACUUAGAUGUAUCUCCAGAAAGUUGUGCUGAGUGGAAACAGCCAAUGUCAAAAAAAGUUACAUACUGUUUGAUACCAUUUAUAUAACAUUCUCAAAAAUUAUAGAUCUGGAUAUUUGCAGGGGACGUGGAUGGGGAGUGGGGUAGGGGUGGGCAUGGGUACAAAGAGACCAUGGGAAGAAGUUUGUGGUAAUAGAUUGUAUCCUGAUUGUGGUGGUGGUUACCCAAAUCUGUACAUGGGGUAAAAUUGCAUACAACAACAUUCACAUCCAUGCAUAUGUGACUAUGAAUGUAGGCUUAGACACUUGUGGAAACUGAAUAGGGUCUGUAGUCUUUUAACUGGUCAGUUUCCUGGUUUUGGUAAUGUACUACAGUUCUAUAAGAUGUCACCAUUGGGGAAGAAGAGCGAAUGAUACUUUGGACUCUUUAUACUUUCUUCUUAACUUUUAAUUAUUUCAAAAUAAAAAGUUUAAAGUUAAGUUUAAAGAGUUAAACUCCGUCCAGUGGAGUGAAAAGCAGGACUGUCGGGUUGAUGGCUCCUGGGCUCCUUCUCUCUCCUGCAGUGGGAGGGACUUUGCCAUGACUCAAUUUCUCAUGGGACCAGGGGCCUACAAGAAGUCCAAGAUUUGGGCAAGCUGGACCUUGAAUCUAAAAAUUUCAUUCCUCUCCUGCAAGGCCGCUCUCACCUUUUCCCUAUUAAAAGGUGUCUUGUGGGGCGCCUGGGUGGCUCAGUCGGUUAAGCGGCCGACUUCGGCUCAGGUCACGAUCUCGCGGUCGGUCCGUGGGUUCGAGCCCCGCGUCGGGCUCUGGGCUGACGGCUCGGAGCCUGGAGCCCGUUUCCGAUUCUGUGUCUCCCUCCCUUUCUCUGCCCCUCCCCCACUCAUGCUCUGUCUCUCUCUGUCACAAAAAGAAAUAAACGUUAAAAAAAAAAAAUUUUUUUAAAAGGUGUCUUGCCGCUCAGCCUCUUUGGAGUGUUCAUCUAGACCUCUGCUCAAGAUGGCUGUCUACUGAGUACUUGAAGAAGGUGACCCUGUUCCUGCUAAUCCUUCUCACCAUGAGUUCCAGGCCAUUCCAGGUGAGGCAUGGUGGUGUGUGCCCAACCCCUUUGAUCCACCGACCUGAAGGUGGAAAGGGAGGGAACCAGGUGGAUAAUUGGGGCAGAAGGAAGAGCCACUGCCAAGACUCUCCAAGGCAGGAGUGUGCCCAGCGUGUUGGAGUCUGAAAUGCAGUUGAGUGUAGGCGUUAGUAGCCGGAGAGGUGAUCAGAGCACUGACAGGAAUUCAGGUAAGUCACGUACGGAAGCCUCGUGUGCCACUGUGAAGGCUGGAUUUUAUUAUGAGUGAUAUGAGGAAGCAAUGGAAGGUUCUAGGCAGUGUGGGGACCAGAUGUCACUUGUAUUUUCACAGGAUCCCUCUGUUUGCUGUGUUGGGAUCGACUUCUGGGAGCUUGGUGGGGGGCAGGCAAGGGCAGAAAAGGCUGAGUUCUGAGGUGUUUAUGGGUGUGUAAAGCCAACAGGCUUCACUGCUAUUCUCCUGGUAAUGGGCAAGAAAAAUGGAGGAGUCGAGGAUGACGGUGUUAGCCUACUCCUUCGUGCUGCAUGAGCCAGACGCACUGGGUAGACUUUUAAACAAUAGUUAUAGGGUCGUAACCUGUAUUUUCUUUCAUUACUCAAUAUUGAGAACUAUUUCAAAGUCGGCAUACUGUGAACCAUUUCCAAGUUAAUAUAGAAACAUAUUCCUUUUAAUGUUUGGUAUCUAUUAUGUGGCAAUACCAUGAGUCAUUUAAGAAAUCCACUGUUGAUAGGUGUUGUAUUAUUUUUCCGUUUGGUUUUCUGGAACAAAUGGAAUGAUCUGAUAGCCUUGGCCAAUAGAUAAUAAUCUAUCAGGUGAGUCUGCACUUCUGUUCAUUUCCUACAGCUAGAUAGUCUAUUGUAAACUGCCUAAAUAUUUAUUUUCAGAACCUACUUUUUUUCUUCCUGAUUGCCAGAAUAAUACAUCUUUAUUUAAAAAAUAUAUGUUACAGGGGUGCCUGGGUGGCUCAGUCCGUUGGGCGUCCCUUCGGCUCAGGUCAUGAUCUCGCAGUCUGUGAGUUCAAGCCCCACGUCAUGCUCUGCGCUGACAGCUCAGAGCCUGGAGCCUACUUCAGAUUCUGUCUCCCUCUCUCUCUACCCCUCCCCCACUCACACUCUGUCUGUCUCUCUCUCUCCCUCUCAAAAAAAAUAAAAACAUAAAAAUAUAUAUAUAUGUAUAUAUAUAUGUAUAUAUAUAUACAUAUAUAUGUAUAUAUAUAUGUAUAUAUAUAUACAUAUAUAUGUAUAUAUAUAUGUAUAUAUGUAUAUACAUAUAUAUAUGUAUAUAUAUAUAUACAUAUAUAUAUGUGUGUUAAGGAUUUUAAAUGAGACUUUUCUUGUCACCAAGCUUCAAACAAGGCCCCAAAGACUGAGCACAAUAGCUAAUAGCCCGAAGGUGCAGAGAAUGCUAAGAGUAUGACAUUUUUUUGUGACCCUUAGUUUACCGCCCACCUUGGGGGUUAAAUAUGGGGGGGGAUAUAGAGGAUUGAGCAAGACGCUUAAUAGAUUUCUUUUUAGAGAGUUUUUGAGUACUGUAAGAAUGUUCUUUGGUGAAGGAAAGCCUAAGCUUUGUGGGGCGGGGGUGGGGUGGGGUGGGGAUUGGUUCGCAGAACCCCUCUGAGAGCUUUAUGUGUGUCCCCUAGAGUCUGGGGACUUAAAAUUAUUUUCAUGCUAAAGGCAAAAGGAGAGGACUGUGGUGGGGGACUGACUGAGCUGCUAUCAAUGAGUGGAAGACGUACAUGCAUUACUGUGAGCCAAAUGGGACUCCAGGAAGGCUUAGACGUGCAGGGGACCCAAGCCAGGUUGGGUGAUCCCAGCAGCAGAGACGGAUAUUGGGGGAGGGCCGUCCUUUGGAAGCCAGGCCUGUGCAGAGUUUAAUGAAGCCUGUAGGAGGAGGCAGUGGUUUGUGAAGGAAGCACUGGGAGAUCCCCCACUGGAACAGCCAGACAGAAGGAACCCGGGACCCCAGUGAGUAUGAAACUACCAUAUUAGACCCAUAGCUUCCCCCCACCCCCCUGGAGUUUUAAAUGAGCAAGAAAUAAGCUUCUACCUUGUUUAAUCUAUUGUAAUUUGGGUCCUCCACUACUUGUAGCCGAAACCAACCCUAACUACCAAUCCUAUUCAGAUGCUUCCAGAGACAAGAAGAAUAGAGAAUGCAGUGUCACUCUACUUACGAGACAAACUGAAUAAGGACUGUUUAGGCAAAGACAAUUAUAGACGAUUUCCAUGUCACAUGUAAAGCUGGACAUAAGAUUCUACAAAAUCAAAGAGUGAGCUAACGCACCGUUCUUUAAGGCACCAUACUAAAUAGCGUACUGGGUAUGACUAGAUAAAAGUUUUCCGAAAAGUAUAUAGGUAGCCUCAGUGGAAAACACUAUGGAGGGUCCUCAAAAAAUUAAAACUAGGAUUACCCCAUGAUACGGUAAUUCCAUUACUGAGUGUUUAUCCAAAGUAUACAAAAACACUAAUUUGAAAAGAUACAUGCACCCCUGUGUUGAUUGCAGCAUUAGGUAUAAUAGCCAAAUUAUGGAAGCGUCCUAAGUGUCCAUCAACAGAUGAGCGGAUAAAAAAGAUGUGGCAUAUAUACAAAAUGAAGGCAUAAAAAAGAAUGAAAUCUUGCCAUUCGCAACAACAGGGACGGAUCUAGAGGGUAUGAUGUUAUGUGAAAUAAGCCAGUCAGAAAAAGGCAAGAACCAUAUGAUUUCACUCACAUGUGGAAUUUAAGAAACAAAACAAGCAAAGAAGAGACAAAAAACCAGACUCUUAAAUACAGAGAACAGACUGUUACCAGAGGAGAGGUUGAAAGGGCGGGGCGCAUGGGUGAAAUAGGCGAAGGGGAUUAAGAGUACCCUUAUCGUGAUGAGCCCUGAGUAAUGUAUAGAAUUGUGGUUUUUAAAAAAAAAAUUUUUGGUGGGGGGGGGCGCCUGGGUGGCUCAGUCGGUUAAGCAGCCGACUUUGGCUCAGGUCAUGAUCUCGCGGUCCGUGAGUUCGAGCCCCGCGUCGGGCUCUGUGCUGACAGCUCAGAGCCUGGAGCCUGCUUCGGAUUCUGUGUCUCCCUCUCUCUGNNNNNNNNNNNNNNNNNNNNNNNNNNNNNNNNNNNNNNNNNNNNNNNNNNNNNNNNNNNNNNNNNNNNNNNNNNNNNNNNNNNNNNNNNNNNNNNNNNNNNNNNNNNNNNNNNNNNNNNNNNNNNNNNNNNNNNNNNNNNNNNNNNNNNNNNNNNNNNNNNNAGAGAGAGGGAGACACAGAAUCCGAAGCAGGCUCCAGGCUCUGAGCUGUCAGCACAGAGCCCGACGCGGGGCUCGAACUCACGGACCCCGAGAUCAUGACCUGAGCUGAAGUCGAAGUCAACCGACUGAGCCCCCCCCGCCAGGCGCCCCAGAGUAAUGUAGAAUUGUUGAAGGACUAUAUUGUACACAUCAUUCUGAAGUUUUAAAUUCUCUUGAUGCAGUGCAAAUAUGGUAGAUGUGAAAAUUUUAAAGAGCCGAGUGGUGGAGUCAUGGAGUGUUCAUCAGGGCUCUUGGCUGUGGGCAGUAGGUCACGUGCUAGCUGGUUUUAGCAGAAGGGAUCUGUUACAGGGCACUGGGUAGCUUAUUGAGUCUUCGGGAUUAUUUUAUUUGUUGACAGCAUUCAGAGCCAGAGAGGUUGUGAUCGCCUGUGGAUAAAGUAGAGCAAGAAACAGCACUGGUGAGCGUGCCAGGGGAUUUGGACAGGUAUGGAAGGACAAUGGGCAGAGGCAUCGAGCAGGGGAUGGGGGUGUGGUGGGUGGUGUCCCAGCAGCCGAGAAAGAGAGGGGUUUGAGAAGAAAGGGGAGGUCCGCCGGGCCAGCAACUGAGAAGCCAAGUAAGCGGAGACCUGAAGCCGCAGGACGGUCGGCGGGGCUCCAGGGGGAGCACUCGGGGGCAGCAGCAGCCGUAGCUGACCGAGUGGUGGAAAGGUGUGUGAUGGCACCCCCACACCUGCUCCCACGCCAUCUGGCCUCAGCGAUAACCCUGUGAGGUUGGCGGGCCAAGCAGGCAGGCAUUAGUUUUCACGUUUCAAAGGGGAGAAACCUGAGGCUCAGAAAUGUGAAAAGCCUUGAUCUGUGACCGAGCCCGGUCUUGUGGCUCUAAAUCCAGGGCUCUUGCAGGGCUACCGUGCUGCCUUCCCACCACAUCCCACCACGGGCCGGGUGUGGCUUGGCUUUAAAAACCCACGGGGCAGUAAAUGGGUAAAACUCCUUAACUCUAAUUCGCUAGGCAGCAGUAAGUGGUGAUGCCUGAUAGCAUAGAUGAAAGAAUACCGAUGGUCUAAGCAUUUUUGUAAGAGUUUCCCUAAGCUCUUGAGUUUCUAGACAAACAUUUGUAUCCCUACUCUGAACCCCAAUUACUGUAUUGAAUGCUGUAUAUAGAUUAUCUUAAGCCUCAUAAACUUCAUGGAAGAGGUACUGAUAUUAGGUCAUUAUAAUGACAAGGAAAACAGGCUUGAUCAGUAAAAUAACUUUCCCUGAGUUACACUCUCAGAAAGUGGUAACGCUUGGAUGUAACCACGGGGGGCAUGGGGAUCCAGCACCUGACCUUCUUCUAGUCUACACUGUACUCAAUCCUAGCCCAAUAGAGCUAUCACUUGCUGUGUAACCCACAAUUGAGUUAGAGACUUAGAUCUUCAGAUUCUCCAAACUGAAUUAUUUUGAUGCUUAAUCAUUCGUACCAGAAAGAAGAAAGACUAUGGUAAAAACUAGGUGAGUUAAGGAUAAUUGGCAAGCUUCACUAAUUAAAAGUUUCAGAUAUUAGGCAGAGCUCCAAAUGGUGGACAGAAGCCCAUCAAAAUGCAUUUGCAGAUUCUUCUGCUUCUGGAGUUACCCCUUCCUCCAUUGCACCAAAAUAUUAUAGGACAUUUGAGGAUUUGUGGAAGGAUUCUGCCACUAAUUUCAAAAAGGUUGGAGUGCCUGUUGUAUGCAAGGCACCGUGCCAGUUGGGGGCUGGAGUAGAGUGGUGAGCAAAGUUGACCAGAUUUCUGCCCUCAGGAAUCUUUCAGUUCAGAUAAUAUUUUAUUAGAGAUAGAGUUGGUUCAAUGGUUACGGGGGUGAGGCUCGGAGGGACCUUGGUCUAUGGGUGUGGAAAGUCCUCUGGAGCCUCGUGGACUUUGGGGUCUUACAAGUCUUUCCUUGAGGGGCUGUUUGGCCUGCAUCUCGGAUUCUUGCAGCCCCAUGUUGCCCCUGAUAGGAAUGUUCCACUCCAUCCCAUGCCUCCACAUCCUUUAGCCCUGCCAGUUAAUGAACUAACGUGAGCUUGCCCCGCCUGGCAGGGGAUUGGUUUUGGAACCAUGGUCCUGUGUACGGUAAUUAACAUUUGUACAUUGCCAUACAGUUUAUAGUGAGCCUUCUGUUUUCACAUUCAGGAUCUCAGUGGAUCUUUAGAACCACUCUGAUAGGGAGGGGAGAGCAGAUACUAUGUUAUUAUGCCCAUUUUCAGUUUAGGGAACUAGAACAAAACCAGGAUUGUACCCAUUUUACAAAUUAGGAUGUAGGAAAAAAACAAAACAAAACAAGUUUCAUGCUUGGUAACUGGAGUGACCAAAAAUCUGUUCCAGUAACACUCGCUUAAUUCUUUAUGAAGAUUUUGAAGUAUAUAAUUUUUCAGGAAAGUAUGUUAAGGUAAUAAUUUUUUUGGCGACAAUGAAAAAAUGUACUCCCAUAGAUGAUUUAUCAUACAUAGGACGUGCACAAGCCCAUGGAAAGAGAACUUGGUCUGUUUUUCUGACUGUAGGUGUUAUUUUCAUUCUUCACCCCCAUUCGCUCCGUAAGGUUCAGCAAGUUGCCUUUCAUCGCAUUGUCCCGUUGAAAAGUCUUCUGUUAAGUUACCGGGGACUCCUUAGUUGCCAUAUCCAAAGGGGAUUCAUUAACUUAUCUUGGAACAGCAUUUGACCCUGAAGGCCUCUCUGUCCCUGACGUUCUGUCUUUCCCUUUCAUCUUAGGCUCCGACCCUCACCUUCCUCUUCUGGCCAUUCCUGACCAUCCUGGCAAUGUUCUCUAGUUCUGCCUGCCCCUUGGAUUUUGUUCUUAGUCAGGACCUACUAUUGGUUCUCUUUGCUUCAACUGGCCAUGCAAUCUGACCAGGUCAUAUCUACCAGCUCAUCCCCCUUUCUUGAACUCCAAAACCACCUGUUCAACUGCCUACUGGACAUUUCCACAUGGGUGAACUAUUAGCAUCAUAAUGCAUUCUGCAAACUGAGCCCAUGAUUUUCCCCUGCUGAACCUGCUCCCUUUCUCAUAUUCUCGUAUCUUCCUUAAAUAUUCAUUUAGUUGCAAAAACCAGACAUGGAGGGUAACAGUUGUGACACUUUCCUUCCUUUCAAUUCUGGCAUCAAAUCAGUGGGUCCUAACAACCUCUUAAAUCUCUCUCCUAUCCCUGACUCUUCUCCAUCCCUCCUCUGGGGAGCCAAGCCACACGGGCAAUGCCUCUGUUUCCUGAUUAGCUCCCAUAUUCCUAGUCUUAAUGUCUUCUGGUCUUUCUUGCGUCCCUAGACAGACUUUUCUGAGUUUGGCUUAUGCUUGGCUUGCAAGGUUCCUUGUUUCCUGGCACAGUCCUGCUUGUUUAAUCUCACUCCCCUCCUCUUCCUUCACACUUAGUGUUCUGGUUAAAUCCAAAUCUGCAGUUCUCUAAAUUUCCUGUGCUUCCACAUAUUUAUGGCUGGUAUCUGCUCUUUUCUCUGUCUGGGGAAGCUAGGGGAGGUCUCAGGCAGGGGAGCCUGCGUGGAGACUUGCAGGCUGUGCAGGAGGGUGCCUGAUUGGCCAAGUGGGAUCCUCGACUCCCAAUCUCAGGGAGUUUGUAUUUCAAUGGAGACAGACAUACACACAGUCGAGGUAUUUUGUGAUGCCUGCUGGAUGAGCACUUUGUACAAACUGCAGGAAGGCAGUGAAGGAGGUCUGUGGGUAUGACAACAUCUUUUCAACUCAACUUAGAAAAGCAAAAUGACGCCAGCUCAUUUGCAUUUACAGAAUAACUAAGCAACUCCUCCAAUGCACAGGGUUGAAUGUGGUACCUUGUGUGUAGCAAAAAAAUCUAAGUGGGACAAAGAAAUGGAUUAGGACAUUGUGGAACAAACCUGAACACAAGGGAGAGAGUCUUUCUGAACUGCACUCUGAGACCCUCUUUAUUUUACUACAUUAAAACAGACUUCACUUGCCUGCUCCUCUCUUUCCUGAAUGUUGGUGCUCCACAGAACUCCGAAUGGGGACUGUCACCUAUUUCUCUGUUCUUUAUCCUUGAGUACUUUCAUUCACUCCCACGGUUUCAGUUGUCACCUCCCAGAUCCGUGUCUCUAGCUGGGAUCUGUCCCUGUCAUUGCCAGUGAAACAUCUCUGCUUGGAAAUUUCACAGUGAUCUCUAUUUCACCAUGUCCAAAGUAGACCUCGCCAUCUUCCCUAUUCUUUCCCCACCCCUCCUGUAGACCUCCAGCUCCUCUGUGCUCUUUUCUGUAAAUCCUGUCCGGUUGUCAAAUUCAGCCCCCUGAGAAUCAUCCUCGAUUCUGUAAUCCAACCUGUAACCAAACCUUUUCAACUCUGCCUCCUCAAGAUGACUAUUCUAGCUGUCUCUGCCUUUCUACCACCGAUGCAGGCUACAUCACCGCAGUCCUGCAUGACAAGGAGAGCAUCUAACGACAUCAACCUUCACUUCCCCAGUCUGCCCACGUGUUCUCCGAUGGAUCCACGGUCAGGUAAGUGAUCUUUUAAAAAUGUAAACUAGAUUCUGUCAUCUGUCCCUUACAACCCAUUAAUGCCGAUGCAGUGGGGCGCUCUGGACCAUAUCCCAGGACAGGAAAAGGAUAUUGGUGGAAACCCCACGAAAUGUGAAUAAAGUCUGGAGUUAAUAGUAAUGUGCCAGUGUCGGUUUCUUAGUUUUGAUUAAUGGACGGUGGUUACAUAAGACGUUAACAUUAGGGGAAAGUGGGUCAGGAGUACACAGGCACUCUCUGUAGUACCUCUGCAACUUUUCUGUAAAUGUAAAAGUAUUCCAAAAUUAAGUUUAUUAAAAAAAAAAAAAAUGAGUGGCACCGAUUUCCCUGAGGUCAGAGUACCAAAUCUUCAACAUGACCAGCUUUCUCUCUCUAGCCAGACUAAACUUAUUUAAUUCUUCCAGUGAGAUAAGCCUCUUCCCUGCCUCCAGGUAUUCACAGUGUCUGGCCCAUUAAUAAAUGCUUGAUAAAUAUUUGUUGAAAAUUAAUGAACAUUUUUAAAACCAGAGUUGGGUUUUUAGUAGGAAUCAGGACAGCCUAGGCAAUGCUUGAACUGUGUGGUAUGCAACUGCCCUAUGCUGUCCUCUCCUCCCUGUCUCUGCCCUCCAGACUGCUAUCCUUGAAAUUCAGCACCGGCCCCCUCCCAGUUCUGGAGACCAGGUGCCCAUUUAUGUUAAUGGGAGAAAGAAAAGGGGUCUUCUCCCCUCCUGAGAACUAUCUUCUUCCACCCACUCUGCCCCUGUCGCGCCUCCCACAACCCACUUGUAGACAGCAGUGGGUUUCUGGAAACAGUGCUGCCUCUUCUCAGGUGAUCACUACUA
RNAcentral lists this long non-coding RNA (19819 nucleotides) under Lynx pardinus (Iberian lynx). The record is from RNAcentral. Lineage: Eukaryota; Metazoa; Chordata; Mammalia; Carnivora; Felidae.